This 495-nucleotide ribosomal RNA is filed under the name uncultured bacterium. Its description in RNAcentral is "partial 16S ribosomal RNA". It matches the Rfam family "Bacterial small subunit ribosomal RNA", at positions 355 to 840 of the family's 1533-position model. The record is from RNAcentral.
UGGGGAAUAUUGCACAAUGGGCGCAAGCCUGAUGCAGCCAUGCCGCGUGUGUGAAGAAGGCCUUCGGGUUGUAAAGCACUUUCAGCGAGGAGGAAGGUGGUGAACUUAAUACGUUCAUCAAUUGACGUUACUCGCAGAAGAAGCACCGGCUAACUCCGUGCCAGCAGCCGCGGUAAUACGGAGGGUGCAAGCGUUAAUCGGAAUUACUGGGCGUAAAGCGCACGCAGGCGGUUUGUUAAGUCAGAUGUGAAAUCCCCGGGCUCAACCUGGGAACUGCAUUUGAAACUGGCAAGCUAGAGUCUCGUAGAGGGGGGUAGAAUUCCAGGUGUAGCGGUGAAAUGCGUAGAGAUCUGGAGGAAUACCGGUGGCGAAGGCGGCCCCCUGGANGAAGACUGACGCUCAGGUGCGAAAGCGUGGGGAGCAAACAGAUUAGAUACCCUGGUAGUCCACGCUGUAAAACGAUGUCGAUUUUGGAGGUUGUGCCCCUUGAGGCGU